GGUACUGUCAUCUAAGGCGAGUCCAAGAUAUACAAGUCACGUAAGAAGUAACUCGUUAAAAACGUUUUAAAUGAAACGUUUUAAAUGUAAACUUGAUUGAUACAACGAUUAGAAAAAAUACGUCUUACGUGGCUUCAAAUUCUAUGAAAUAGGAUUUUAAAAAAUAGUGUGUUUACGUGUAAGAAUAUAUAUGUAAGUUGUGUAUCUAUGUAUGCCUGAAGAACAUCGAUCGAACGAGGCCAAGAUCUGUACAAUCGAUUUAUCUCGGAUGACACAUUCCUUCCUAUUAAAAGAUGAUAGUGAUGAAAGACGGUUAAGAAAUCAACGUGUUUGACCGAUGACACGAAUUGCAUUGGUGUUCGUCGAAAAGGAAUCAACGUGCGAGCCCUUUUUCAUUUCAACUUGGACAACUUUUAAUUAAUCAUUCGUUACAGUCUACUCAAAGAGGUCGAGGCAUCGUGAUUAAUAUGAAAACACGAUGACGUCUUUGGUUCAAAGAGAUUUCGAGUCUCCAAGAAAGAGGGAAUCCACUGGUAGCAAUGCAUCCAGUUAUUUACUUCUACUUAAUUCUCUGGCGACUGAUUUGGACUGCAUGCUGAGCGAGCUCUGCACGACCCCAGAUUCCUACGAACG
This 633-nucleotide long non-coding RNA is filed under the name Polistes canadensis. Its description in RNAcentral is "uncharacterized LOC106787275, transcript variant X1". Lineage: Eukaryota; Metazoa; Arthropoda; Insecta; Hymenoptera; Vespidae. The record is from RNAcentral.